UGGGUGUCGGGGGAGAUUUGGGGUCAGCUGGGCGAUUCACUGGCGGCCUAUGGAGGUCGCUGUAGACUUGGGGUGCAGCGCGAGCGGGGCAGGGGGACGCGAGGCUGCUCUUGGCCCUAGGGGAGAGGGGCCCCUGGGAGGCCGUGUGGAGGAUUUGUCUGCAGCGGUUAGGACUCUGCUGAUCCAUGAUUUGGAUGCCUUGUGGUGCCAGGCGCAAGCUACGCUGGUCCCCGCCUCCUGUGCCCUGCAGGUGUGGAUGCUGCUGGCUGUGCACCGUGGGGUUCCUGAGCGUGCAGUCACCUGGGAACUGCUCUUGUCUAAUUCUCCAACCCUCAGCCUGCCUCUGGGAGCUGCAUGCUGUCUGUGCUGAGCAGUUCGGUGUAG
This 384-nucleotide long non-coding RNA is filed under the name Rhinopithecus roxellana (golden snub-nosed monkey). RNAcentral's name for it is "lncRNA (ENSRROG00000046022.1)". Lineage: Eukaryota; Metazoa; Chordata; Mammalia; Primates; Cercopithecidae. The record is from RNAcentral.